UAAAAGUCGUAACAAGGUUUCCGUAGGUGAACCUGCGGAAGGAUCAUUAGUGAAUAUAGGACGUCCAACUUAACUUGGAGUCCGAACUCUCACUUUCUAACCCUGUGCACUUGUUUGGGAUAGUAACUCUCGCAAGAGAGCGAACUCCUAUUCACUUAUAAACACAAAGUCUAUGAAUGUAUUAAAUUUUAUAACAAAAUAAAACUUUCAACAACGGAUCUCUUGGCUCUCGCAUCGAUGAAGAACGCAGCGAAAUGCGAUAAGUAAUGUGAAUUGCAGAAUUCAGUGAAUCAUCGAAUCUUUGAACGCACCUUGCGCUCCAUGGUAUUCCGUGGAGCAUGCCUGUUUGAGUGUCAUGAAUACUUCAACCCUCCUCUUUCUUAAUGAUUGAAGAGGUGUUUGGUUUCUGAGCGCUGCUGGCCUUUACGGUCUAGCUCGUUCGUAAUGCAUUAGCAUCCGCAAUCGAACUUCGGAUUGACUUGGCGUAAUAGACUAUUCGCUGAGGAAUUCUAGUCUUCGGAUUAGAGCCGGGUUGGGUUAAAGGAAGCUUCUAAUCAGAAUGUCUACAUUUUAAGAUUAGAUCUCAAAUCAGGUAGGACUACCCGCUGAACUUAAGCAUAUCAAUA
Molecule: ribosomal RNA, 626 nt
Filed under: uncultured eukaryote
Lineage: Eukaryota
Description: eukaryotic LSU rRNA
Rfam family: 5.8S ribosomal RNA (bases 203-356)
Source: RNAcentral